GACCCUGCCGGCCCCCCGCCGGCUCCUGUCUCUGCUCCCUGUGUGGCCGCCAGGGCCCCAUGCAGGGACCUUAGGGCUGGUUUGCAGCCUGGAGGCACAUUGCAGUCUCCCUGGAGCUCUCUCUCGGGUUCCGGUUCUUAACCAGGGGGUGCGCCCCUACUGAAAACAAGUUUAAUGGGACAUUGUUCUUGGAAAAAGAUCAGCAGAUAUGAAUAUAUUAGCAUUUUGAGAGUUUUCCAGUCUGUGAAAGCAUAAGGAUGAAAUGGGGUUUUUUGUUUUAUUUUGUUUUUAAUAAAGACUGCAUUAUGAGUCA
Molecule: long non-coding RNA, 313 nt
Organism: Mustela lutreola (European mink)
Lineage: Eukaryota; Metazoa; Chordata; Mammalia; Carnivora; Mustelidae
Exons: 2
Source: RefSeq, a predicted model, not a curated record